This 504-nucleotide long non-coding RNA is filed under the name Equus caballus (horse). Its description in RNAcentral is "lncRNA (ENSECAG00000052160.1)". Lineage: Eukaryota; Metazoa; Chordata; Mammalia; Perissodactyla; Equidae. The record is from RNAcentral.
CAAAAUGAGAAGCAUGGACCUGGAGGAGAUUUGGGAAAGGACAUGAAGAAAUAGUACUGGGUCCCAAAUUUGGAUACCUGAGUCUCACCAAAAAAAGCAAUUCAGAGAUCAUUCAGUGACCUGCAAGCACCAGGACAAUGGGCUGGAAGGAAUAAGAGGACAGCAUACAAUUGCUCAGGUCUCUGCAGGUCCUGGGUAAUCACUCCAGUACGAGGGCCCAGGAAUGCUUCAUCAAGACAAGGACUCAAAAACAUGUCCACAAGAGAAAGGCCAAAGAAAAGUCCCCUUUUCCAAUGGGACACAAACCAAUUUUUUAUGCCUCUUAACUUGCUUUGCUACUCAGAGUUCUUCCCUGUAAGGCUUUGGUUUCUCAUGCAGAGAAAUUCGAGAUGAGUCCCUACUGUGGAACCUCCAGACAUGUCCAAACAUAUCUAAAUCCUCUAGCGACACUUUAUGCUGAAGUCUCUGAGCUCCUAAUACAUAAAAAUAAAAUUUGUUUUCCAC